AUUGUUCUAAUGAAAAGAGGCCAUAAAUGUGUUCCCCUUGAGCCUUCAUCCCGAGCUUGUACCAUCUUGCAAUUUGAUGCAUCAUUAGUUGAUUGAGAAUUGGUCUGGACAGUACUUUCAGAUGGAUUUAAGAAAUCAAAGUGGGCCUCACUACAAAGGGAAUGUAAAUGAUAUGACCGGUUUCUUUCAAACAAUAAAAUAAGGUUGUUCCAUGCAUCAGGGAAAGGCUCCCUAACUGCCAAACUUCUUAUGCAGUGGUACAAAGCUAGGAACUCGUCACCAACAUAUGUUGCCAACAC
This 299-nucleotide unclassified non-coding RNA is filed under the name Hevea brasiliensis (rubber tree). Lineage: Eukaryota; Viridiplantae; Streptophyta; Magnoliopsida; Malpighiales; Euphorbiaceae. The record is from RNAcentral.